Molecule: ribosomal RNA, 470 nt
Filed under: Shewanella sp. 5WU1 12
Lineage: Bacteria; Pseudomonadati; Pseudomonadota; Gammaproteobacteria; Alteromonadales; Shewanellaceae
Description: bacterial SSU rRNA
Rfam family: Bacterial small subunit ribosomal RNA
Source: RNAcentral
CUGAUGCACCAUGCCGCGUGUGUGAAGAAGGCCUUCGGGUUGUAAAGCAGCGAGGAGGAAAGGUUACUGGCUAAUAUCCAGUAGCUGUGACGUUACUCGCAGAAGAAGCACCGGCUAACUCCGUGCCAGCAGCCGCGGUAAUACGGAGGGUGCGAGCGUUAAUCGGAAUUACUGGGCGUAAAGCGUGCGCAGGCGGUUUGUUAAGCGAGAUGUGAAAGCCCCGGGCUCAACCUGGGAACUGCAUUUUGAACUGGCAAACUAGAGUCUUGUAGAGGGGGGUAGAAUUCCAGGUGUAGCGGUGAAAUGCGUAGAGAUCUGGAGGAAUACCGGUGGCGAAGGCGGCCCCCUGGACAAAGACUGACGCUCAUGCACGAAAGCGUGGGGAGCAAACAGGAUUAGAUACCCUGGUAGUCCACGCCGUAAACGAUGUCUACUCGAGUGGGUCUUGACAGGGCUCUCAACUAACGCAU